This is a long non-coding RNA of Diorhabda carinulata, 910 nucleotides long. RefSeq lists it as uncharacterized. The record is from RefSeq and is a predicted model, not a curated record. Lineage: Eukaryota; Metazoa; Arthropoda; Insecta; Coleoptera; Chrysomelidae. The transcript is spliced from 2 exons.
UCGCGUAACCUGGGUAUAUGGGGUGGGAUAAAAUGAUUAUGACUUUUAAGAAAAAUUAUUUCAAAUAAAUUUUUUUUUAUAUAUUUUGGACGAAUCCCUUUUGCCCAUCAUGUACAAGUAACGCCCAAAAUACCAAUGUCCGGGUAGAAAUUGUUGAACAUAAUACAGUGCAGACUCGAUAAUCCGAAUUCUUCAGUAGUCCGAACAAGCAUUUUCAAUACAUUGGAUACCUGUCCUUUUAGGUCUAUUUCCUAUAGAAAUUAUGACUAGAAGUUCAGGGAUUCCAACAACACAAGACAUUGUCCUUAAAACAAAAAAGUGAAAUUAUUGAAAGAGUUGUGCAUGAGUGCCGCUGAGUUUGAGGUUGGAAGAUCCACAAUCUGUGACAUAAAACAGAAAAAGUCUAAAAUCGACAGGUAUAUUUCCAAAGUCCUUGAUCACCAUUAUGGCUGGCUCCGAGACCUUUGGAUAAGCUGAAGAGCCCUUCUCUGCACCUGUGCUAGUCUUCUGCACUCCUCCAUAUCAAAUCGACUGGACUGUGCUCAUGAGCAGCCGUCUCUUACUCGACGUUAGACAUCAUCAGCUUCAAGACGAAUCUAGACGGUUAUUCCAAGUUCUUAGCUAUGUCUUCGUUUCUAAUGUAGCACUUGAAUGGGAAUUUUAAGAAUUAUAACUUCGGUCAACGACAGCUGUUAACCACCUGAUGCAGUUUUAGCUAGACCAGCUCCAGAUCGCGAGCAGCAAAAAGUGCAACCGCAAGAAUAGAAAAAUUAAUGUUUUAGAGAGUUUUUUUUUUUAGUAGCAUGGUAUUUUUGUAUAGAUUUCAAACCUUUUUAGAGUGAUAAAGCUGUGGAAUAAAUAAAUGUACCCGAUAUAUUCGAAAUAUUAAUAAAACGCGCAGUUCGACCUA